RNAcentral lists this transfer RNA (73 nucleotides) under Ktedonobacteraceae bacterium. RNAcentral's name for it is "tRNA-Arg". It matches the Rfam family "tRNA". From Rfam's summary of the family: Transfer RNA (tRNA) molecules are approximately 80 nucleotides in length. Lineage: Bacteria; Bacillati; Chloroflexota; Ktedonobacteria; Ktedonobacterales; Ktedonobacteraceae. The record is from RNAcentral.
GCACCUGUAGCUCAAUGGAUAGAGCGGCUGACUUCGGAUCAGUAGGUUGCGGGUUCAACUCCUGCCAGGUGCG